Gavialis gangeticus (Gharial) is the source of this 271-nucleotide long non-coding RNA. RefSeq lists it as uncharacterized. NCBI's taxonomy places the organism in Eukaryota, Metazoa, Chordata, Crocodylia, Gavialidae. The transcript is spliced from 3 exons. The record is from RefSeq and is a predicted model, not a curated record.
UUUGAAUUGUGGAGCCCAAAAUUGGACGCAGUACUCCAGCUGCGGUCUAACUAAUGCCAUGUAGAGGGGAAGUAUCCUCUCCUUGGUUCUAUUUGUCAUGCAUCUGCUGAUGUAUGAGAUAGUGUGGUUAGCUUUGCUGAUGAUUUCGUCACACCGACAACUCAUAUUCACUUUGGCGUCCACUGUGACUCCGAAAUCUCUUUCUGCUUCUGUGCUGCUGAGAGGGUCACUUCCUAGCCAGUAGGUGUGCUGGAUAUUUUUGUGCCCUAGG